GUUUGUUCAUCUUACUUUACUGAAUAUUCUAGCUGCUUACAAUUAUCUCUAUCUAUAAUCAGCUUGGCCCAGUAGUUUCAGAGAAGAUUUUUGUAAAAGAUUACUAAGAUUUACGAAAAAAUGGUUAAAACUUGACUCUAAAGGGCAAUAACUCUUAAAGGGGUCAACUGACAAUUUCGGUCAUGUUGACUUAUUUAUAGAUCUUACUUUGCCAACAUUUAUUGUAAUUUAAAGUUUAUCUCUAUCUAUAAUAAUAUUCAAGAUAAUAACCGAAAACAGCAAAAUUUCUUUAAAAUUACCAGUUCAGGGGCAGCAACCCAACAACAGGUUGUCUGAUUCAUCGGAAAAUUUCAGGGCAGAUAUAUUUUUACUUAAUAAACAAUUUUACUUCAUGUCAGAUUUCCUGUGCUUUGGUUUUUGAGUUAUAAGCCAACAACUGAAUUUUACCCCUUUGUUCUAUUUUUAACCGUGGCGACCAUCAUGGUUAGUUGACCGGGUCACGCCACACAUUUUUAAAACAAGAUACCCAAAUGAUGAUUGUGGCCAAGUUUGGUUUAAUUUGGC
This 564-nucleotide long non-coding RNA is filed under the name Mytilus galloprovincialis (Mediterranean mussel). The record is from RNAcentral. Lineage: Eukaryota; Metazoa; Mollusca; Bivalvia; Mytilida; Mytilidae.